AUUGAACGCUGGCGGCAGGCUUAACACAUGCAAGUCGAGCGGGGGAAGGUAGCUUGCUACCGGACCUAGCGGCGGACGGGUGAGUAAUGCUUAGGAAUCUGCCUAUUAGUGGGGGACAACAUCUCGAAAGGGAUGCUAAUACCGCAUACGUCCUAUGGGAGAAAGCAGGGGAUCUUCGGACCUUGCGCUAAUAGAUGAGCCUAAGUCGGAUUAGCUAGUUGGUGGGGUAAAGGCCUACCAAGGCGACGAUCUGUAGCGGGUCUGAGAGGAUGAUCCGCCACACUGGGACUGAGAAACGGCCCAGACUCAUACGGGCGGCAGCAGUGGGGAAUAUUGGACAAUGGGGGGAACCCUGAUCCAGCCAUGCCGCGUGUGUGAAGAAGGCCUUAUGGUUGUAAAGCACUUUAAGCGAGGAGGAGGCUACUUUAGUUAAUACCUAGAGAUAGUGGACGUUACUCGCAGAAUAAGCACCGGCUAACUCUGUGCCAGCCGCCGCCGUAA
RNAcentral lists this ribosomal RNA (501 nucleotides) under uncultured bacterium. Its description in RNAcentral is "partial 16S ribosomal RNA". It matches the Rfam family "Bacterial small subunit ribosomal RNA", at positions 30 to 523 of the family's 1533-position model. The record is from RNAcentral.